GUGAGUCAUCGAAUCUUUGAACGCAUAUUGCGCUCUUUGGUAUUCCGAAGAGCAUGCUUGUUUGAGUAUCAGUAAACACCUCAAAGCUUUUGGAUUUUUUUUGAAAGUUUUGGACUUGAGCAAUCCCAACACCAAUCUUUUUCAGAUCGGCGGCGGGUUGCUUGAAAUGCAGGUGCAGCUGGACAUUCUCCUGAGCUAAAAGCAUAUUCAUUUAGUCCCGUCAAACGGAUUAUUACUUUUGCUGCAGCUAACAUAAAGGGAGUUUGACCGCAUUGGCUGACUGAUGCAGGAUUUUACAAGGGUCGGCAACGAUUCUUGUUAAACUCGAUCUCAAAUCAAGUAAGACUACCCGCUGAACUUAAGCAUAUCAAUAAGCGGAGGA
This 382-nucleotide unclassified non-coding RNA is filed under the name Mortierella sp. RNAcentral describes it as "partial contains 5.8S ribosomal RNA, internal transcribed spacer 2, and large subunit ribosomal RNA". The stretch from base 1 to 71 matches the Rfam family "5.8S ribosomal RNA", at positions 84 to 154 of the family's 154-position model. The record is from RNAcentral. Lineage: Eukaryota; Fungi; Mortierellomycota; Mortierellomycetes; Mortierellales; Mortierellaceae.